GAUGAACGCUGGCUACAGGCUUAACACAUGCAAGUCGAGGGGAAACGACGGGGAAGCUUGCUUCCCCGGGCGUCGACCGGCGCACGGGUGAGUAACGCGUAUCCAACCUGCCUCUGACUGAGGGAUAACCCGUCGAAAGUCGGCCUAAUACCUCAUGGCAUCGUCUGCGGGCAUCCAACGACGAUUAAAGAUUUCAUCGGUCAGGGAUGGGGAUGCGUCUGAUUAGCUUGUUGGCGGGGUAACGGCCCACCGAGGCUACGAUCAGUAGGGGUUCUGAGAGGAAGGUCCCCCACAUUGGAACUGAGACACGGUCCAAACUCCUACGGGAGGCAGCAGUGAGGAAUAUUGGUCAAUGGGCGAGAGCCUGAACCAGCCAAGUAGCGUGCAGGAAGACGGCCCUAUGGGUUGUAAACUGCUUUUAUGCGGGGAUAAAGUGAGGGACGUGUCCUUCAUUGCAGGUACCGCAUGAAUAAGGACCGGCUAAUUCCGUGCCAGCAGCCGCGGUAAUACGGAAGGUCCGGGCGUUAUCCGGAUUUAUUGGGUUUAAAGGGAGCGUAGGCCGUGGAUUAAGCGUGUUGUGAAAUGCAGGUGCUCAACGUCUGCACUGCAGCGCGAACUGGUCCACUAGAGUGUGCGCAACGCAGGCGGAAUUCGUCGUGUAGCGGUGAAAUGCUUAGAUAUGACGAAGAACUCCGAUUGCGAAGGCAGCUUGCGGGAGCACAACUGACGCUGAAGCUCGAAAGUGCGGGUAUCGAACAGG
RNAcentral lists this ribosomal RNA (760 nucleotides) under uncultured Prevotella sp. RNAcentral's name for it is "bacterial SSU rRNA". It matches the Rfam family "Bacterial small subunit ribosomal RNA", at positions 28 to 776 of the family's 1533-position model. The record is from RNAcentral. Lineage: Bacteria; Pseudomonadati; Bacteroidota; Bacteroidia; Bacteroidales; Prevotellaceae.